RNAcentral lists this long non-coding RNA (203 nucleotides) under Elaeis guineensis (African oil palm). RNAcentral describes it as "long non-coding RNA (EGUI_LNC050015)". The record is from RNAcentral. Lineage: Eukaryota; Viridiplantae; Streptophyta; Magnoliopsida; Arecales; Arecaceae.
AGGCUGUGGGGGCACAUAUGGGUCGUUGCGAGGGCUGCUCCCCCAAUCCGGUCUUUAAGAAAUCCGGCCUUCGACUUUGCUCAUGUUAGGACGAGGUUCUCUUCCUGUUCCUAACAAGGCUGUGGGGUCACAUAAGGGCCGUUGCAAGGGCCUCUCCCCCCAUCUGGUCUUUAAGAAACUGGGCCUUCGACUUUGCUCAUGUU